This 412-nucleotide unclassified non-coding RNA is filed under the name Hevea brasiliensis (rubber tree). The record is from RNAcentral. Lineage: Eukaryota; Viridiplantae; Streptophyta; Magnoliopsida; Malpighiales; Euphorbiaceae.
CGACUGUACAAUUUAUUUACAAACACGAUUUGGCAUAUAUUACAAGGACAGUCAAUGGGUUGCUGAGACUGAUGAAGAUUGAAGACAAUAAUAAACAAGUAGAGAGGGCGCAGGAACUGCAUACUAUUUUAGGUGUCACCCAAAUGUGUUUUCUCCACUGUAUGUAACAUAGAGAAACCCAUCCUCAUCCUUCCUCUCAUCAUAGAUUGCAGACAUUAGUGAUCCUGUUGGAGGUAGCACAUUGUCCACGAAUAUGAAAAUUGCCUUCUCUGCACUCAAUUUUAUUCUCUUCCGGAUAACGUAAACAAAUUGACCAACAGUCAGGUCAGCAGGCACUAGAUACUUUUUCUUGUCAAUGUUGGGAAUAUCACUUCUCUCUGCCUUCUCCACGAUUACUGGAAUUCUGUCUGGG